This 312-nucleotide long non-coding RNA is filed under the name Phoenix dactylifera (date palm). Its description in RNAcentral is "long non-coding RNA (PDAC_LNC012036)". Lineage: Eukaryota; Viridiplantae; Streptophyta; Magnoliopsida; Arecales; Arecaceae. The record is from RNAcentral.
GUUGAUAGAAGGCAAAAAAGAAAGAAUUUCCAAUAAAUAUCAGGUGAUAAAAGCCAAUCAAUGCCCCACUCUUCUCACCAUCAGUGACUGAAUGCCCAAACCAUCGUCCUGCACUAGCUGGUAGAUCACGCCCCAAGCAACAAGAUGCACUCCAUGUCCUCCAUCAUAAGAGCCCCAUAGGAAGUUUCAAAACAACUGUUCAAUCUUCAUGAGCAUAGAUCUUACGAUGAUGGUAUUGGACAUAAGAUAGAUCAGUAUAAAGCUGAGGAUCAAUCUCAUUAAUAUCAGCCUAUCCAUCAUGGAUAAGCACAA